UCGGGAAUAUUGCCCAAUGGGCGAAAGCCUGACGACGCAACGCCGCGUGGAGGACGAAGAUCUUCGGGUCGUAAACUCCUUUCGAUCGGGAAGAAUGGCUUCCGGGGUAACAGCCCGGAGGAAUGACGGUACCGAGAGAACAAGCCCCGGCUAACACUGUGCCAGCAGCCGCGGUAAUACAGGGGGGGCAAGCGUUGUUCGGAAUUACUGGGCGUAAAGGGCUCGUAGGCGGCCAACUAAGUCCGACGUGAAAUCCCCAAGCUUAACUUGGGAACUGCGUCGGAUACUGGAUGGCUUGAAUUCGGGAGAGGGAUGCAGAAUUCCAGGUGUAGCGGUGAAAUGCGUAGAUAUCUGGAGGAAUACCGGUGGCGAAGGCGGCAUCCUGGACCGACAUUGACGCUGAGGAGCGAAAGCUAGGGGAGCAAA
RNAcentral lists this ribosomal RNA (426 nucleotides) under uncultured bacterium. RNAcentral's name for it is "bacterial SSU rRNA". It matches the Rfam family "Bacterial small subunit ribosomal RNA", at positions 355 to 772 of the family's 1533-position model. The record is from RNAcentral.